Molecule: unclassified non-coding RNA, 247 nt
Filed under: fungal sp.
Lineage: Eukaryota; Fungi
Description: partial internal transcribed spacer region
Rfam family: Eukaryotic small subunit ribosomal RNA (bases 1-46)
Source: RNAcentral
AAGUCGUAACAAGGUCUCCGUUGGUGAACCAGCGGAGGGAUCAUUACAGAAGGUUACAAUACCUACAAACCACUGCGAACCGUUCCUUUUAGCUGCCUCGGCGGGCAAUCCCAGGGCGGGAUUCCAGGCCUCCUUCGGGAGGCGCUCGCCGGCGGUGCGCAACGUAUCUAGCUCUGUCUCUCAGCGGAUUUCUGAGUGAUUUUAAAAAAACCUUUAAAAACUUUCAACAACGGAUCUCUUGGCUCUG